Molecule: long non-coding RNA, 795 nt
Filed under: Numida meleagris (helmeted guineafowl)
Lineage: Eukaryota; Metazoa; Chordata; Aves; Galliformes; Numididae
Description: lncRNA (ENSNMEG00000002376.1)
Source: RNAcentral
CAUGCCCAGUUUAGGGUCACGGUGCCCAGUUUGGGGUCAGGGUGCUCAGUUGGGGUGCCCAGUUUGGGGUCACCAUGGCUGAGUGUCCCAUGCCCAGUUUGGGGUCCAGGUGCCCAAUUUGGGGUCACUGUGGGUGUCCCAUGCCCAGUUUGGGGUCAGGAUGCCCAGCCUGGCUGCCCAGUUGGGAUGCCCAGUUGCUUGGCCCCAGUGCCGUACUGGUGUCACUCAGUGCCUGGUGUGGGACUGGGCUGUGUGGGCACCCUUGGGGUGAGCACGGGUGCCCUAUGGGGUGCCCGUGUGUUCCCUAUGGGGUGCUCUAUAGGGUGCCCUAUGGGCUGCCCUGCAGGUUACCUGUGGAGUUCUCUAUGGGGUUCCCUGUGGGUUCUCUAUGGGGUUCCCGUGUGCUCUCUAUGGGGUUCCCAAUAUGUUCCUUAUGGAGUGCCCUAUAUUGUGUCCUAUAGAAUCCCCUAUAGGGUACCUUGUAUUUUCCCUAUGGGGUUCCCUAUGGGAUGCCCUGUGGGGUUCCCAGUGUGGUCCCUAUGGGGCUCCCCGUGGGGUUCGCAGUGGGGUGGCAGCGCGGUGUCCCCGCAGGGUGACGUACGUGUACUACGAGCAGUACCUGACGGUGGUGGCCGAGGGGCUGCUGACCGUGGCCAUGUGCCUGGCGCCCACCUUCCUCGUGUCCUUUGUGCUGCUGGGCAUGGACCUGCGCUCCAGCGCCGCCACCGUCAUCACCAUCGCCAUGAUCCUGCUGGACACCGUGGGGCUCAUGACGCUGUGGGGCAUCCCCUACAA